Thrips palmi is the source of this 163-nucleotide small nuclear RNA. RefSeq annotates it as U1 spliceosomal RNA. The record is from RefSeq and is a predicted model, not a curated record. The transcript has a single exon. NCBI's taxonomy places the organism in Eukaryota, Metazoa, Arthropoda, Insecta, Thysanoptera, Thripidae.
AUACUUACCUGGCUCAGGAGUUAACCGUGAUCACCAAGGCGGUUCUCCCAGUGCGAGGCCUCUCCAUUGCACUUCGGUGGGGCUGACCGCUGCGAGUAUCCCAAAUGUGGAUACCUCGGGAGUAUAAUUUUUGAUAGUCGGGACUGCGUUCGCGCUGUCCCGG